This 253-nucleotide ribosomal RNA is filed under the name uncultured bacterium. Its description in RNAcentral is "partial 16S ribosomal RNA". It matches the Rfam family "Bacterial small subunit ribosomal RNA", at positions 524 to 776 of the family's 1533-position model. The record is from RNAcentral.
UACAGAGGGGGCAAGCGUUGUUCGGAAUUACUGGGCGUAAAGGGCGCGUAGGUGGCCUUUUGAGUCAGACGUGAAAUCCCCCGGCUUAACCUGGGAACUGCGUCUGAUACUGGAAGGCUUGAGUUCGGGAGAGGGAUGUGGAAUUCCAGGUGUAGCAGUGAAAUGCGUAGAGAUCUGGAGGAACACCGAUGGCGAAGGCAGCCCCCUGGGCUGACACUGACGCUCAUGCACGAAAGCGUGGGGAGCAAACAGG